This 5190-nucleotide long non-coding RNA is filed under the name Strongylocentrotus purpuratus (purple sea urchin). Its description in RNAcentral is "uncharacterized LOC105443080, transcript variant X1". The record is from RNAcentral. Lineage: Eukaryota; Metazoa; Echinodermata; Echinoidea; Camarodonta; Strongylocentrotidae.
CCCUUUCAUCUCGUUGAUAACAAGAAGAGCAAAGUGAUGAACCUACAAGGCAAGAUGAGAAACUUCUUGGACCUCACGACUUUCUGCUAUUGCCACACUUAUGAGGACACAGGAGGAAAUUCUCUGGUUCAAGGAAGGCAUGGUGCUGGCUAGGCUGGGACUCGAUCAUGAUAUAGAUGUCUUGCGUCUCUCAUUACAGAUCCACAGAUUCUGUAUUGCAGAAGUAACAAGAGAGCACUCACUCCUAGGCAUGCCUACAUCAUUCCGAGUCCAGAAUCUACUGCUGGCUCUCUGAUCCCUAGUGCACUGUCUUCAUGGAUACCCCAGCAGAUCCUUGUCAUGCACGUCUCUUUGUUUUAUCUCGACAUCAUGAUUCUGAAGAGUUGCAUUGCUGCAAAAACAAUGUUGCCCCAAGGAGAGAGUUUCCUACAUCCACUUGAGAAACUGAAACUAAAGAUUUAAGCUGCCCAUGGGUAUUCUACUCCCAAUAUUUGCAACAUGCUUUUUAAAGAAUCUGCACAUCUGAACGUGAAGUUGCCCAACCGAGGGAUACUAGUGUCCAUGAUCAGAGCUUGAGAAACAGAUCCUUUCAUACUUGAGGAACAGUACAAUAUCAAAGUAUAGCUGGUAAUCUGAACAUUUGAAAUUUGGUCGGCAGAGGGGUGCAAGUAUUCAAGUGAUGCAGAGAAUAUUUGCAAUGGCAGCAGGGCAGUGCAUCCAUCGUCACUCCUCACAUCGUUUCCAGAAUGAGGAUCACAAGUAUUCAAGGGAUGCAGAGAACAUUGGAAACGGCAGCAGGACAGAGCAUCAAUCAUCACUCCUCACAUCGUUUCCAGAAUGAAGAUCACAACUAUUCACUAGAUGCAAUGAACAUUGGUAAUGGCAGCAGGGCAGAGCAUCCAUCGUCGCCCCUCACAUAGUCUCCAGAAUGAGGAUCGCAAGUAUUCAAGGGAUGCAUAGAACAUUGGCAAUGGUAGCAGGGCAGAGCAUCCAUUGUCAUUACCUUACAUCGUUUCCAGAAUGAGGAUCACAAGAGAGGUUUGGCUGUCUUGUUUGUGUCGUAGCCAUGAUUGAUGGUUGUGAAGUUGUGGCGAUGAGUCUGUGUUUACAUUUCCAAAUCAUAUGUAGAAACUUUUGCAUUGUAUAGGUAAAUAGGUAUUUUAUUUCAUUUUUCAUUGUGUUGUAGGGUGCGACUAAGGCCUAGUGUAACUGCUAGAUUUAAUUUAAUUUGGGGUAUUUUUCUGAUGGUUUUAAAAUUAUUACUGGUAUGUUUUGAUCCAUCAUUGAUAAUCUAAAACAUUGCUCAGAAAAAUGAAAUAUCAGAACAUGUAGAUAUUCCCCCCCCCCCCCAAAAAAAAGAAGCAAAGAAUUACAAGACAACAUCUUGCUCAAGAGAGUGACUCAAUGCUCAAUAAUGAAAAAUGAUAAGUUUUGAUUGAAUUAUUAGCUGAAAUUGUAAAUGAUUGUCUAUGCAUCUAAACAUACAUUCCAAAAAUAUUCAGCCCCAAAAUAAUGGCGUAUAGUUGUAUGCUUCAAAAAGCGCAUUCAUAUUGUUGGUGCACCUCAAGAGUGUGGUUAUCUGAUAUUUGCUUCUGCAACAUUUGCUCUGGGCUUUAUUAUUUUACAUGGUGGUUUUAACAUAGUGUUGGAACCAGGUUAGAGGUCAAGAAUUUGGAAUGUGUUUAAACAAAAAUUGUUCUUGAGCAGCUGUCGUAAAAUCCAGAAAGGCAAAAAUAUUCUCGUGAGAUAUGGGAUACACCAAGGAGGGCAAACAUUAUUGCCCCAUUACCCCCACUCCUUCCGUAAAGAUCCCUCGCCCCCCCCCCCCCAAAAAAAAAGGGCAAAAUUGAUAAUGUUAUUAACAUAAUUGAAUAAUUUGGUAUAUAAAAAUAUCAAAUAGAUGAAGAGUUUCACCAACUGUGGAUUAUACCUAGCUGUAAAAGUCCUGAUAAGUUUUUCUUUCUGUGUUUCUGGUUUGUGUGUUGAACGUCUUUGUAUGAUUCCAGUGUGUUUGUGUAUGACCAUGUGAUAUGAUCUGAAUACUGUUGUUGUUUUGGUCUAUAGGCAUUUAUCAUUUAGGAGUGAAUAUCUAAGCCUCUUCUGUUCGGAUCUUUUUCCUUUCAAAUUAGAUUUUAAUACUUUAGUUUUAAUAUAAAGAUUAGGAUAAAUUAGAUUCUUAAAAGUUACACUCUAUUUUUUUAAAAGUUGAAGUGUUCAGUGGCUGACGAGCAAAAGGCCUAUCGGCUAUAUUGGACGUCCAAGGACCAACUCAGACACAGUACGUUGUGACAAGUUUCUCAACUCGGCCUAAUGCUGAGCCUAGGCCCUCUGACGUCCACCAUUAAGUCUAGACGUCUCCACCGCAUUUCUUCAAGAUUUGUCCCAAAACCAAUAAAAAACAUAUAAUAUACAUGAAGAUUCUAAACGUUAAUAUAGGCAGUUCUCUCUUCUCUUCUUUAGUACUUUUCUACUUUUUUUCUUCUUUCCCUCUUCUUCUUCUUCAUGUAUCACUCACUAUAAAAAAGCGAAACAUCUUGAGCUUGAAUAAUUAAGUGCGGUGCAAAGUGGUUAGUAUGGGUACAGGUGUACCCUUUUAGCUCUAGAUACAAAGUUGACCAGAGCCUGUUGGUGGUUAAUGUCUGUGGAAUUUAGUAUUGGGAUUGCUAUUUUGUUUUCUAUGCCAGAUUCUGUAAUAAGCAUGGCUCUCUAUAAGGAAGAGAUAGCACUUGCAUACGAAAUGGCUAACUGUUUCUUUUUCCGUGCUCACAGUCCAGUCUCAUGUUCAUUUAACCUAAAGUUCCCCAUUCUUACCAGCUAAUCUUACUCAAAGCCUAGACCUAUUGAAUAAGAUCUAAAUGGACAAACAAAUUUCUGCUCUUUUUUUAAACCUACAUGUAGAUACCAAAAAAUGAGAUCUUCUGCAGACUUAUUAAAGUAUUUAGCUCUAUAUUUCAAUGAUAGCUCUUUGGUUAUGUGUGAGUGAACUACAUGUAGACCAUGUUGCUUGCAUUGUUUUUUUAAAGUCUAUUGUCUCUGGGUUCGGCUGUGUCUAUUUUGGAAUAUUUAUAUGCCCAGUCAUGCUAAGUAGUCAUUUUGAUGGAGACAAACUUGCUUGCACGCAGAUAUAUUUUUAGGCAAGUUGGGCAAGUAAUGAAAAAUCUUUGACGUAAUCGCAGUACCAUGCCAAAAGAUCUGAUUUUAUAUUAUAUUUAUGCAUAGGAUGGCAUGUUGUAGACUACUGGCCUGGCCACUGUUUUCGACAGCUCUAGAACUGGUGUUGCUUUCAAUUGAAAAAAAAACCCUGUUAAAUCCAUCCUUCAAGAAGUGGCAUCUUCUUUCUACGUUCCAUCAAGAGCUUCAAAUAUCUUUCUAAUGUUACUAAUACUCUGCAGAUGAAAAGAGAUGGACUUAAAUGUGUUUUUUUAAUACAAAGUCAUUUAUGUUCAUAUUCACUAGCAAACGGAACUCCAAGAUUACGUGCUGAGUUUGCUGAUAUUACAUCUGAAUGACCUAUUUGAAUGGAAUUUGUGUAGUGAUUUUCUAAGUUUUUCAUUGUUUUCCAUACCUUUUACAAAAUUCAUAUCUCCCUUAUUAGUUAUUUGAUUUUAAUCAAAUUUUUGUUGCUCUGUUUCUCUGCACCAUCCGGUUCUUCUCUAGUGACACUGCUAUUGUCUUCACUUUCCUGUUUAAAUGUUCAUGUCUUCAUGCUCUGUUGAAACACUGCUCACACGUUCACUUUCUUCUUCAACAUCCAUAAUUCCCUGCUCUGCGUGAUCAUCAUCGGAAACAACAGUUUUUACCUCAUCUUCCUUUUCAAGAUUCAAUAUCAUUUUAUUUUAUUGGUCCGUGCAUGCAAACAUUACAUAGAAAUUUUGCUUCCAAUGGCUUUUUUGACAGGGAAAGUACAAAUAAUAGAAAAUACAGUAUAACAUUUAACAAUAGAAAACUCUGCGAUGUCAUUAGGAGAAAUAUGAUUUCAUCCAAUCCCUUUCCUGCAAACUCUCUGAUUCAACCCUUUUCUGCUGCCAGGUGGAAACAUGAGCAACUUGCACAACAUCAAGUGGGAAGGGGUACAUGUAGUACUGUCUGUGGAUCGUAAUAUGUCCCAGAAAAGAUGCCAAUUGGUCCAUUUCAUGUUCUUUUAAGCGAUGGCACUUGGGACAUAAUUGCCAAGUGUUUCCUUAAUCUCGUGGAGGUGAGUGGAUGAGGUCUUUCUGAAGUUGAAGUUGAAAUUGAAGUUUGAAGUUUAUUAACAACAACAAAAUGUAUGUACAUCAUAAAACAAAGUAUGCAAGGCAAAACAAUAAAAAACAAACUGUACAUACUACAUAAUGUACAAAACAAUGAAUUACUGCUUAAGCUUAAUUAAUGCUUACAUAAGACACAUUUAUACAAAAGUUCCAAGUUGUUGCUAGACCCCAACAAUCACACAACUACACUCACAAAACAGAAAAAACAUUGAAAACUCAAAAUAAAUACCUUUGAUUCCUUCGUCAAGGACAAAUUCCUGCCCUUCAUGGUGCCCUUGACGAGCAUCACUUUUUUGCGCAAUGGCAACGCCAACAAAUCUUUCCUGACCUGCUCUUCUGGGAAGUGGCAAUAGACGGCCACUGGCUCGUUUCCCCCGACUCCAACACGAGCCCAAACACAUGCGGCUCCUUGCCUCGUGGUCUUCGUAUUUCAAAUUGUUCCACAACACAAACCUUGAAAAUACCAGGCAUGAUGGCUGGAAAACACACGGCACUCAACUUAAAAAUAAAAAACUCUAACAAAAGUGAAAGAAAUACGGAAAUAACAACUAAAAACAGCUAAGCCCUGGCAUAAAAUCUUCAGUCACACAAAACACUAUCAGAAAACAGAAAUUACAUAGAAAACUAAAACUCAAAAUAAAUACCUUGGAUUCCUUCGUUAAGGACAGGUUUCGACCCUUCAUGGUGCCCUUGGCGAACAUAACCUUCUUUCUUAAUGGCAACGCCAAGAGAUCUUUGGCCACCUGGUGUUCAGGAAAGUGGCAAUAAACAGCCACUGGCUCCGACUCCCCCGACUCCAACACGAGCCCAAACACAUGCGGCUCCUUGCCUUGUGGUCUUCAUAUUUCAAAUUGUUCCACAACACAAACCUUGAAAAUACCAGGCAUGAUGGCUGGAAAACGCACGGCACUCAACUUAAAAAUAGAUAACUCCAACAAAA